RNAcentral lists this ribosomal RNA (253 nucleotides) under uncultured bacterium. RNAcentral describes it as "partial 16S ribosomal RNA". It matches the Rfam family "Bacterial small subunit ribosomal RNA", at positions 524 to 776 of the family's 1533-position model. The record is from RNAcentral.
UACAGAGGGUGCAAGCGUUAAUCGGAAUUACUGGGCGUAAAGCGUGCGCAGACGGUUGCGUAAGUCAGAUGUGAAAGCCCCGGGCUCAACCUGGGAAUUGCAUUUGAGACUGCGUAGCUAGGGUGCGGAAGAGGGAAGCGGAAUUUCCGGUGUAGCGGUGAAAUGCGUAGAUAUCAGGAGGAACACCUGCGGUGUAGACGGCUUACUGGACCGUAACUGACGCUGAGGCACGAAAGCGUGGGUAGCAAACAGG